AGUGAACGCUGGCGGUAGGCCUAACACAUGCAAGUCGAACGGCAGCACAGUAAGAGCUUGCUCUUACGGGUGGCGAGUGGCGGACGGGUGAGGAAUACAUCGGAAUCUACUUUUUCGUGGGGGAUAACGUAGGGAAACUUACGCUAAUACCGCAUACGACCUACGGGUGAAAGCAGGGGAUCUUCGGACCUUGCGCGAUUGAAUGAGCCGAUGUCGGAUUAGCUCGUUGGCGGGGUAAAGGCCCACCAGGGCGACGAUCCGUAGCUGGUCUGAGAGGGUGUUCAGCCACACUGGAACUGAGACACGGUCCAGACUCAGACGAGAGGCAGCAGUGGGGAAUAUUGGACAAUGGGCGCAAGCCUGAUCCAGCCAUACCGCGUGGGUGAAGAAGGCCUUCGGGUUGUAAAGCCCUUUUGUUGGGAAAGAAAAGCAGCAGGUUAAUACCCCGCUGUUCUGAGGGUACCCAAAGAAUAAGCACCGGCUAACUUCGUG
RNAcentral lists this ribosomal RNA (492 nucleotides) under uncultured bacterium. RNAcentral describes it as "partial 16S ribosomal RNA". It matches the Rfam family "Bacterial small subunit ribosomal RNA", at positions 29 to 507 of the family's 1533-position model. The record is from RNAcentral.